RNAcentral lists this transfer RNA (85 nucleotides) under Rhodospirillaceae bacterium. RNAcentral's name for it is "tRNA-Tyr". It matches the Rfam family "tRNA". From Rfam's summary of the family: Transfer RNA (tRNA) molecules are approximately 80 nucleotides in length. The record is from RNAcentral. Lineage: Bacteria; Pseudomonadati; Pseudomonadota; Alphaproteobacteria; Rhodospirillales; Rhodospirillaceae.
GGUGGGGUGCCCGAGUGGUUAAAGGGGACGGGCUGUAAACCCGUUAGCAUUGCUUACGUUGGUUCGAAUCCAACCCCCACCACCA